This 156-nucleotide small RNA is filed under the name Chimaeribacter coloradensis. Its description in RNAcentral is "Glm Y RNA activator of glmS mRNA". It matches the Rfam family "Glm Y RNA activator of glmS mRNA". Rfam says of the family: This family consists of a number of bacterial RNA genes of around 167 bases in length. The record is from RNAcentral. Lineage: Bacteria; Pseudomonadati; Pseudomonadota; Gammaproteobacteria; Enterobacterales; Yersiniaceae.
AGUUGCUCAUUCACCUUACUUAUGACAGCCCCGCUUACGCGGACUAUGCGCUCCAUAAGACCCGAAUGACGCCAAAGCAAGGUGCCUAUCGUCCACCGCACCGAUACCGCUGAAAGGCGCUAUCAACCGCAGGGCGACACGUUGAGUGAGGCACCA